AAGGAUUUAAGUUAAAAAAUUAAACUAGUAACCUUCAAAGUUUCAAAAAAAGAAAUUUCUUUAAGCCUUA
This 70-nucleotide transfer RNA is filed under the name Onthophagus baolocensis. Its description in RNAcentral is "tRNA-Trp". The record is from RNAcentral. Lineage: Eukaryota; Metazoa; Arthropoda; Insecta; Coleoptera; Scarabaeidae.